Molecule: transfer RNA, 73 nt
Filed under: Actinomycetota bacterium
Lineage: Bacteria; Bacillati; Actinomycetota
Also listed under: 1 other name
Description: tRNA-Ala
Rfam family: tRNA
About the family: Transfer RNA (tRNA) molecules are approximately 80 nucleotides in length.
Source: RNAcentral
GGGCCCGUAGCUCAGUUGGUAGAGCGCUUCCAUGGCAUGGAAGAGGUCCGGGGUUCGAUUCCCCGCGGGUCCA